UGGUAGGAGGUGCUGCAGAGAGACCCCUACCUGGCUCUCAUCCUCUCUCAGUGGCAAGUCCAUCUAGUUCAGACUCAGACAGGUGGAAGAAGUCAGCUCCUAGCUAGGGUAUAAUGAAGCAUGAUGGAAGUAUUUGACCCAGUGGCUCUUCUAUACCCAGGAGGCCCUGACUGCCACAUUCACCAGUUGAUUUUCCAGACAAAUGGAAUCUGAGCUACUAUGUUGGAGGAAAGCAAUGAAGACUGAAGGGCAGAAGGAGGGUAUUGGCUGGAGCUGAAAUCCUGACAGGAAAGAGGCACACCCAUGAAGAAUUUAGCAAAACGGAG
Long non-coding RNA from Gorilla gorilla gorilla (western lowland gorilla), 326 nucleotides. RefSeq lists it as uncharacterized. NCBI's taxonomy places the organism in Eukaryota, Metazoa, Chordata, Mammalia, Primates, Hominidae. The record is from RefSeq and is a predicted model, not a curated record. The transcript has 3 exons.